Molecule: ribosomal RNA, 872 nt
Filed under: Bipolaris sp.
Lineage: Eukaryota; Fungi; Ascomycota; Dothideomycetes; Pleosporales; Pleosporaceae
Description: partial large subunit ribosomal RNA
Rfam family: Eukaryotic large subunit ribosomal RNA
Source: RNAcentral
AAGCGGAGGAAAAGAAACCCACAGGGAUUGCCCUAGUAACGGCGAGUGAAGCGGCAACAGCUCAAAUUUGAAAUCUGGCUCUUUCAGAGUCCGAGUUGUAAUUUGCAGAGGGCGCUUUGGCUUUGGCAGCGGUCCAAGUUCCUUGGAACAGGACGUCACAGAGGGUGAGAAUCCCGUACGUGGUCGCUAGCUAUUGCCGUGUAAAGCCCCUUCGACGAGUCGAGUUGUUUGGGAAUGCAGCUCUAAAUGGGAGGUAAAUUUCUUCUAAAGCUAAAUAUUGGCCAGAGACCGAUAGCGCACAAGUAGAGUGAUCGAAAGAUGAAAAGCACUUUGGAAAGAGAGUCAAACAGCACGUGAAAUUGUUGAAAGGGAAGCGCUUGCAGCCAGACUUGCUUGCAGUUGCUCAUCCGGGCUUUUGCCCGGUGCACUCUUCUGUAGGCAGGCCAGCAUCAGUUUGGGCGGUGGGAUAAAGGUCUCUGUCACGUACCUCUCUUCGGGGAGGCCUUAUAGGGGAGACGACAUACCACCAGCCUAGACUGAGGUCCGCGCAUCUGCUAGGAUGCUGGCGUAAUGGCUGUAAGCGGCCCGUCUUGAAACACGGACCAAGGAGUCUAACAUCUAUGCGAGUGUUUGGGUGUCAAGCCCGAGCGCGUAAUGAAAGUGAACGGAGGUGGGAACCCGCAAGGGUGCACCAUCGACCGAUCCUGAAGUUUACGGAAGGAUUUGAGUAAGAGCAUGGCUGUUGGGACCCGAAAGAUGGUGAACUAUGCUUGAAUAGGGUGAAGCCAGAGGAAACUCUGGUGGAGGCUCGCAGCGGUUCUGACGUGCAAAUCGAUCGUCAAAUUUGGGCAUAGGGGCGAAAGACUAAUCGA